Aptenodytes forsteri (emperor penguin) is the source of this 861-nucleotide long non-coding RNA. RefSeq lists it as uncharacterized. The transcript is spliced from 2 exons. NCBI's taxonomy places the organism in Eukaryota, Metazoa, Chordata, Aves, Sphenisciformes, Spheniscidae. The record is from RefSeq and is a predicted model, not a curated record.
AGCAUGAUGACAGAGACGAUGGUGUGGAUUACUGGGCCAAAAGAGGAAGAGGCCGUGGUACUUUCCAGCGUGGCAGAGGGCGUUUUAACUUCAAAAAGUCAGGUAGCAGUCCGAAGUGGACACAUGACAAAUACCAAGGGGAUGGGAUUGUGGAAGAUGAAGAAGAAACGAUUGAGAAUAAUGAAGAAAAGGACAGACGCAAAGAGGAAAAGGAAUAACCCUGGAAGAAAAUUGUAGCUGAAAGAGCAGCUCUUGCACCACCCACACAACAUUUUUAAUAUGUUUUUUUGUUGUCAAAUGAAUGUAAGCAUUUUACUUAAAUUUUACUGUUGGAAAGUAGUUUAGAGGGAUUGUUUUUGGUUUAAGCCUUUAGAAAAAAAUCUUGAUAUAGUAAACUAUGUUAAUGAUCGUACAGGUAGAAAGUAAAAUAUUUGUAACAACUUUUAAGAAAUUUUACUGUUUGUUAUAUGCAGUGUAAUUCUGCUUUGUCCAAAUACAUGGUCAAGUACAACUCUAAAAGUUUUGAUUCUCCCCUAUGUCUGUGUUUUAUUCUGAAGUAAACUUACAGCUCUGCACACCUGAAAUCUUGGAGCAGCAUUUUUUAUAAAACCAAUAACUACUUCUGUGUUGCCUUUUAAUAAGAAGUGUAUUUAAGGGUAGUUAUUCAGUCAUAGUGUAAGUACAAACAGUUGUGCAAAAUGCUGAUUAUACGUUAGUUCACAAGAAUCAUAUUUCCAUAGUGUGUCAGUGAUAAACCUGGAUUCUUAUUCCACCAUGCUAGAGGGUGCAGCAAGAAUUUUAUCUUUGAGAGUGAAAUUGUCACUCUUCUUUAGUAGCCUGAGAAAUACAUAUGUAUGUAAA